CGACUCGCCCUGCCCCUUUGCACUACAGCCCGUGUUUGCGUUUCCACCAGCGCCUGCCCUCUCUCCUCUCGCUUCGCCUUUUCACACGGCACCACGCUCACCGUCUUCGCCCGAGGGACUGCUUCACGAAGUCCAGGCCAGGGAGGAGUUGAGGAGUCUGAGCAUAACGCUACGGAAUUUGAAAUCGCGGCGCCUCUCCCUCAACGUCGGCCUCUGGGAGGAGCGUGCUGCGUUGCCACGCCCCCGCACCACUGCGCCUGCGCACCCCUGAACUCGAAGGGGUGGGUGGGAGUUGGUGUCCUUUUGCUCCACUGCGCUUGCGCGGCAGACUCAGGGCUGGGCUUUUUUUCUGGCGCUGGGAGUCCUGGUCAUGACAGACCCCUAGAGGCUGUGGUCUGAAAUGCUCGCUGGGUUUUGGCCCUAUCGCUUCAAAGCUCCACCUCCCUCCUCCACCUCCCCCACCCCCCACUCCUAGUAUGAAGCCUCUAAUUUAAGAAGCACCAUUGGAGAAAUAGAAGAUGAUAAGACGGGAAGGAGCCACAGACCCUAAUACCAUGACCACUAAAGCCCUGAUGACUCCUGCCUGCAUCUCUUCCUGCCAAGUGUCACCAGAAAACCUCUGCCCCAUUGCCAUCUACUACCCUCACAUGACCUCCCUAGCCUCUGAAAGCAGACACUGGGAUGCUAAGAGAAUCAAAUGUGAAGAACCAAGGACUGGCCUCCCAAAUGUGUGUUCUCAGAUUUUGCUGAUGGUAAAGAAUGAGAAUUGAGGAAGAAAGAAUGUAUCUUCUGUCAGCCCUCCUCUCCUUAGCCUCUUAGCCUGCCUUUGGGUUCCUGACAUGAGUAUUGUGGCCUGGCUUCUCAGAGACUCUCACUCACCAGCACUCAUCAGCUGGGCUGCUGCCAGAGACACCGUGGCCUUGCUGUCAGUCAGACCCUCCAUGGCCGUCAGCACCAGAUUUGGUUUGUACUUUCAUAAUCGCCUUCUAUUUAAGUUUGUUCUAUGCAUGCUUCUCUCCCCAGUGGACUAUAAGAUCCAUGAAAAUAGAAAAACUGUCUUGGUCAUCUAUGUAUCCACUGUAACGCUUAGCAUGGUGCCUGGUGAGUAUUCAGUAACUGCUUGUUGAGAUAGCUGGAAUCAAACUGAACCAAGUGAAAUGGAAUUGAAUUGGUGGACAGGGAAAAAGACAAAGGGAGGAAAGAGAGAAGGUGGGGUGAGGGUGAGUAAUUGAGGCUAGGUAAUAUGUGACCAAGUUUGACAUAAGGGUAGAGAUGAGGGCCCAUGCUCCAGGGCAGGCUUCUGCUCACUCCAAAGUUGUUCCAUUUUGCAGUGAAGCCAAGAAUACGGGCAGCACACCACAUGGCCCGUUCCCUCUCAUUGUCGUUCUGGGAAUUCAGCCAUAUGUUCAGAUGCUAGAGGAAGAAGAGAAUGAAGGGAGAGACCUGUUAAGCUGUAUUCUGGAGGGUAGAAAUGUAACCUGAACCUGGCUUCUGCACAGGAUCAGGACAAGACUUCUGAGAACAGGACUUCUUUUGCUAUCAGGCAGGUUAUAUGUGGCUCUGGCACCAGAAGCCCUCAUACCUCCAGCCCCCAAUUUACCUUAUCUAAGUGCUAGAAACACCCUCAUUUAACACCUCCUUUUUUUCAAAUUAAAUCAGUGGCUCUCAAAUUAUAUUGACUAUUAUUCAUUUCAAUGGGGGUCAGUGUCCCCCAGGGUCCCCCAAUAAUGUUUUCCCAGUCUUCAAUAGAAAGAGAACUUGGUAGUAACAAAAAAGAGUCACUAUAUUCACAGAUUCCUAGCUGAAUUAUGUAUAAACUUGCUUGAGAAAUAUAAUUAUGGAUGAUUCCUAGUUGAAACAUAGUAUGUCAGUGUAUCACUAUUGGUAAAUUAUGGACCCAAAAUACCACCGAUCCAAAGACGCAUUGUCAACCUACAAUAAUCAAUCUGAUAUUAAUGGAACUAAACAAACAGCAAUUUAUAACUAAAAAAAAGAAGGGCAACAGAUGAAAAAUCUACAAGCAAUGGAAGAGAAUACUGAUGCUGCAUUGAUAAGAAAACGACAUUCUUCUUGAAGAUUGGAAGAAUUCUAGUGGGAGAUCUGCAAGUCUUCCUUGCAGCCAGACUCUGAUGAAAUAGCCCCGUGCCAAGACUGUGGUCUCUAAAUACCAUUUUUCACUAAGAGGAAUCAUUGGUCAUUGGAGAAACAGUUUAUCCCAGGAAUGAGACAGGAAAUAUACAAGAUAAUAUACUGGAGAGCAAGGAAGCCAUGAAAGACUAUUGGCAUUAUAUUAGAGGGAUUCAGGAGCUAACCUGAAGAGGCUCCCAUUGACCAAAGAAGGAACAAUUUAAGCAUCCAUAAGAAUAAUAGUUGUAAUUGAUCAAAACAUAUGAAGCAUUUAAAAAUCCAUUUUAGGGGCGCCUGGGUGGCUCAGUCGGUUGAGCGUCCGACUUCAGCUCAGGUUAUGAUCUCGCAGUCUCUGAGUUUGAGCCCGGUGUUGGGCUCUGUGCUGACAGCUCAGAGCCUGGAGCCUGCUUCGGAUUCUGUGUCUCCCUCUCUCUCUGCCCCUCCCCUGCUCAUGCUCUGUCUCUCUCUGUCAAAAAUAAAAUAAACAUUAAAAAAUUUUUUAAUUCAUUUUAAAUUUAUAUGAUACUAGAGAAAUAACCCUCACUAGUUAUCUUUGGAUGACUAGGAAAUAAAUACUUACAUUACCUUGACAGCUAAUCAAGGGAAACCAGCAUUUAUCUUGUCUUUCCUAUAUGAGCUAUACCUCAAAGUAACCAAACAGCUUAUAAAGUCGAUUUCUCUUUAUAGAAGAAUUCCAGGUAAAAAUAAACAAGCAAUGAUAGAAUUACAGUGUCAUCACUUUGCAAAAAUAAUAGAAGUAUAUUGACUCAGUGGACUACUACAUAGCAAUAAAAAAUGAUCUGAUGCUACAUGUAACAACAUGAGUGAAUCUCACAGAUAAAAUGCUGAAGCAAAAUGAUAUAGACAAAAAAAAGUACAUACUAUAAAAUUUCAUUUAUGUGAAGUUUAAAGAACAAGCUAAACUAAUCUAUGGUGAUAGAAGUCAGAAUAGUGGUUAUCAGUGGUUAUUCACUGGGAGAGGAAACUUUUGGGGGUCUUGGACAUGUUCUAUAUCCUGAUCUGAUAUUUA
Molecule: long non-coding RNA, 3157 nt
Organism: Acinonyx jubatus (cheetah)
Lineage: Eukaryota; Metazoa; Chordata; Mammalia; Carnivora; Felidae
Exons: 4
Source: RefSeq, a predicted model, not a curated record